This is a long non-coding RNA of Gorilla gorilla gorilla (western lowland gorilla), 597 nucleotides long. RefSeq lists it as uncharacterized. Lineage: Eukaryota; Metazoa; Chordata; Mammalia; Primates; Hominidae. The transcript is spliced from 4 exons. The record is from RefSeq and is a predicted model, not a curated record.
ACUAGGAAAAAAUCAGCAAAUAUAUAGAAAACAUGAACAACAAGAAUAAAUAAAAGACAUAUCACCAAAUAGGGCAUGCUAACCAACUUCUCACAACCCUCUGGGAUGAUGCCUGGUUUGCAACACCAAAUAAGCCCCCAGAAGAUGAUAAUCCCAGGAGAACUCCACAACAAACAUUCUUCAGGCUAAUGUAUGUCUCAGAAUCUGUUUUCUAGCACCUGGGAACCCAACUGGCCAUGGUGUAUGUCAAGCACUGUAUUGAGAAAAAAAACCACAACAAAUGUUUGGAAAAGAUAAGAGGCUUGUUAGUAAUUUUCAUAAACCUGAUAUAAUCAGAAGCAGCAUCCAAGUCUAGAUUGGAAAGAUUUCUCUCAAUGUCUCCAUGAAGAUUUCCCUCAAAGAAAGCUGAUGUCUAAGAUCAUACUACUGAAGGAGGAAAUUGGGUACAUUUAACUGCAGAAAAGGUUAGCCUGGAUUAUUAAGAGCUCUUUUCCUGAUGGGCAGAUCACAGAGACAGAAUUGCUAUGUCCCAUCUUGUCACAGACCUUUUGUCAUCUACUAGGAUGAGAAUGUUGAACACUGAAAAGAAAAAACAGA